UACGUAGGGUGCAAGCGUUAUCCGGAAUUAUUGGGCGUAAAGAGCUCGUAGGCGGUUUGUCGCGUCUGCUGUGAAAACUGGGGGCUCAAGCCCCAGCCUGCAGUGGGUACGGGCAGACUAGAGUGCGGUAGGGGAGACUGGAAUUCCUGGUGUAGCGGUGAAAUGCGCAGAUAUCAGGAGGAACACCGGUGGCGAAGGCGGGUCUCUGGGCCGUAACUGACGCUGGAGGAGCGAAAGCGUGGGGAGCGAACAGG
Molecule: ribosomal RNA, 254 nt
Filed under: uncultured bacterium
Lineage: Bacteria
Description: partial 16S ribosomal RNA
Rfam family: Bacterial small subunit ribosomal RNA
Source: RNAcentral